UGACGGUACCUGACUAAGAAGCUCCGGCUAAAUACGUGCCAGCAGCCGCGGUAAUACGUAUGGAGCAAGCGUUAUCCGGAUUUACUGGGUGUAAAGGGAGCGUAGGCGGAAGGCUAAGUCUGAUGUGAAAACCCAGGGCUCAACCUUGGGACUGCAUUGGAAACUGGUUUUCUAGAGUGUCGGAGGGGUAAGUGGAAUUCCUAGUGUAGCGGUGAAAUGCGUAGAUAUUAGGAGGAACACCAGUGGCGAAGGCGGCUUACUGGACGACAACUGACGCUGAGGCUCGAAAGCGUGGGGAGCAAACAGGAUUAGAUACCCUG
RNAcentral lists this ribosomal RNA (320 nucleotides) under uncultured bacterium. RNAcentral's name for it is "bacterial SSU rRNA". It matches the Rfam family "Bacterial small subunit ribosomal RNA", at positions 470 to 789 of the family's 1533-position model. The record is from RNAcentral.